AUACUACAAUGUAUGUUUCUCAAAUAUCUAUAGUCAACUUGUUACCUGAUUUUAUUGAGGGAUUUCUAAAUGGACCGUGUUAUUUUUGCACAUAUAAAAAUAUUGGCAACAAUUUCUUUUUCUUUUUUUAUUUAUAGAUUUUGUCAUGCCAUCAUUGCAGGUAUUCUUUCUCAUUUGUUUCAGGUAUCUCCUCCAUUCUCUUAUAAUAAGUUUUGGUAGUUUGGUUUCAGGCUACAAGGUAAAAGAAACAGCGAAGUUAGGUCCUGUCAGAGAAGCCUACGAAUUCGAAGGGUACUAUAUAUUAGGUGGAGCCAUCAUAAUUCAAUAAUUCAUGAUUUUUAUGAUAAAGAUUUGAUUUAUCUUUAGCUACAUGUUAUGUUAAGAAUUAAAAAAUCAUGUUAUGUUUGAUACUUUAUUUGUAUAGGAGUUAUAGGAGUUAUUACUUUUUAUUUUCAAUACUAAAAUAUUAUAUAUUAUGUUUAAUACUUUAUUUGAGUUAUGUAAUAUUUUGUUUAUAAGUUAUGAUUUCUUGUUAUUGUAAAAUUUUAAACAAAAAUUUAUUUGUUUAACGUAGUAAAAACGACGGUUAAAACUCAUGUGCAGAUAAAAUCGUAUGCUAAUUUAAAAGAUAAAAAAUGUUACUUUUAUCCGGUAAAAACGACGGCUUGUAACUGCCAUUUUAAACAAUUAAAACGCAUUUUAACCUAGAAAAAAUGGUGAUUUUAAACUACCAUUUUUAAACAAUAAAUACUGCCGUUUUAAACAACGAAAUGCCAUUUUAACCAACAAAAAGAUGCUGUUUUAUCUGGAAAUAACGGCGGUUUGAAUCGCCAUUUUAACCAAAUUCAAAAACCGCCGUUUUAACCAGGUAAUUGUGGCGGGCUGAAACUGCCGUUUUAACAAAAAAAAUGCCAUUUUAUCUGGAAAUAACGGCGGUUUGAACCGCCGUUUUAACCCAACUCAAAAACCGCCGUUUUAACCAGGUAAUUGUGGCGGUUUGAAACCGCCGUUUUAACUAACAAAAAAUGCCAUUUUAUCUGGAAAUAACGGCGGUUUGAACCGCCGUUUUAACCCAACUCAAAAACCGCCGUUUUAACCAGGUAAUUGUGGCGGUUUGAAACCGCCGUUUUAACUAACAAAAAAUGCCAUUUUAUCUGGAAAUAACGGCGGUUUUCUUUUUCUUUUUUUAUUUAUAGAUUUUGUCAUGCCAUCAUUGCAGGUAUUCUUUCUCAUUUGUUUCAGGUAUCUCCUCCAUUCUCUUAUAAUAAGUUUUGGUAGUUUGGUUUCAGGCUACAAGGUAAAAGAAACAGCGAAGUUAGGUCCUGUCAGAGAAGCCUACGAAUUCGAAGGGUACUAUAUAUUAGGUGGAGCCAUCAUAAUUCAAUAAUUCAUGAUUUUUAUGAUAAAGAUUUGAUUUAUCUUUAGCUACAUGUUAUGUUAAGAAUUAAAAAAUCAUGUUAUGUUUGAUACUUUAUUUGUAUAGGAGUUAUAGGAGUUAUUACUUUUUAUUUUCAAUACUAAAAUAUUAUAUAUUAUGUUUAAUACUUUAUUUGAGUUAUGUAAUAUUUUGUUUAUAAGUUAUGAUUUCUUGUUAUUGUAAAAUUUUAAACAAAAAUUUAUUUGUUUAACGUAGUAAAACCGACG
RNAcentral lists this long non-coding RNA (1644 nucleotides) under Arachis ipaensis. RNAcentral describes it as "long non-coding RNA (AIPA_LNC001914)". Lineage: Eukaryota; Viridiplantae; Streptophyta; Magnoliopsida; Fabales; Fabaceae. The record is from RNAcentral.